AUGCUAAUGGUUAAUGUGCAUGCUCAACCAGAAAUCAGAAUUGCCUCUGGAUUUCUGAUGGCGGUGGUGCACAUCCCGCGCCAGUUCAAGGUGUCGGACUGGUUCCUGAACAGGAAGGACUACAAGGACGGGAGGUUCUCCCAGGUCUUCUCCAACGCCGUCGACAUGAAGCUCAGGGAUGACCUUGAGAGGCUCAAGAAGAUCAGGGAGCUGGAGCUGGGCCAAGGGAGCAAGCAGCGCUGCUGGUUACUUGGGGCCAGAUCGAGUAAGAUGGCGCACCAUGGCGUGUGGCGGCCUAUUUUGCUUCCAAGAGCAGUACUGUUUAUUUGA
RNAcentral lists this ribosomal RNA (330 nucleotides) under Triticum aestivum (bread wheat). RNAcentral's name for it is "partial small subunit ribosomal RNA". Lineage: Eukaryota; Viridiplantae; Streptophyta; Magnoliopsida; Poales; Poaceae. The record is from RNAcentral.